Molecule: ribosomal RNA, 641 nt
Filed under: Salmonella enterica
Lineage: Bacteria; Pseudomonadati; Pseudomonadota; Gammaproteobacteria; Enterobacterales; Enterobacteriaceae
Description: bacterial LSU rRNA
Rfam family: Bacterial large subunit ribosomal RNA
Source: RNAcentral
CCCCGGUAAACGGCGGCCGUAACUAUAACGGUCCUAAGGUAGCGAAAUUCCUUGUCGGGUAAGUUCCGACCUGCACGAAUGGCGUAAUGAUGGCCAGGCUGUCUCCACCCGAGACUCAGUGAAAUUGAACUCGCUGUGAAGAUGCAGUGUACCCGCGGCAAGACGGAAAGACCCCGUGAACCUUUACUAUAGCUUGACACUGAACAUUGAGCCUUGAUGUGUAGGAUAGGUGGGAGGCUUUGAAGUGUGGACGCCAGUCUGCAUGGAGCCGACCUUGAAAUACCACCCUUUAAUGUUUGAUGUUCUAACGUGGACCCGUAAUCCGGGUUGCGGACAGUGUCUGGUGGGUAGUUUGACUGGGGCGGUCUCCUCCUAAAGAGUAACGGAGGAGCACGAAGGUUGGCUAAUCCUGGUCGGACAUCAGGAGGUUAGUGCAAUGGCAUAAGCCAGCUUGACUGCGAGCGUGACGGCGCGAGCAGGUGCGAAAGCAGGUCAUAGUGAUCCGGUGGUUCUGAAUGGAAGGGCCAUCGCUCAACGGAUAAAAGGUACUCCGGGGAUAACAGGCUGAUACCGCCCAAGAGUUCAUAUCGACGGCGGUGUUUGGCACCUCGAUGUCGGCUCAUCACAUCCUGGGGCUGAAG